AUACGUAGGGGGCGAGCGUUGUCCGGAAUUACUGGGCGUAAAGGGUGCGCAGGCGGCCGAUUAAGUCAGAUGUGAAAUACCACGGCUCAACUGUGGGGGUGCAUUUGAAACUGGUUGGCUUGAGUGCAGGAGAGGAAAGUGGAAUUCCUAGUGUAGCGGUGAAAUGCGUAGAGAUUAGGAGGAACACCAGUGGCGAAGGCGACUUUCUGGACUGUAACUGACGCUGAGGCACGAAAGCGUGGGUAGCGAACAGGAUUAGAUACCCUGGUAGUCCACGCCGUAAACGAUGGAUACUAGGUGUAGGGGGUAUCGACCCCCCCUGUGCCGGAGUUAACGCAAUAAGUAUCCCGCCUGGGGAGUACGGCCGCAAGGCUAAA
RNAcentral lists this ribosomal RNA (377 nucleotides) under uncultured bacterium. RNAcentral's name for it is "bacterial SSU rRNA". It matches the Rfam family "Bacterial small subunit ribosomal RNA", at positions 523 to 898 of the family's 1533-position model. The record is from RNAcentral.